UUGGUGAGGUAAUGGCUCACCAAGGCUACGAUCCGUAACUGGUCUGAGAGGAUGAUCAGUCACACUGGAACUGAGACACGGUCCAGACUCCUACGGGAGGCAGCAGUGGGGAAUAUUGGACAAUGGGCGAAAGCCUGAUCCAGCCAUGCCGCGUGUGUGAAGAAGGUCUUCGGAUUGUAAAGCACUUUAAGUUGGGAGGAAGGGCAUUAACCUAAUACGUUAGUGUUUUGACGUUACCGACAGAAUAAGCACCGGCUAACUCUGUGCCAGCAGCCGCGGUAAUACAGAGGGUGCAAGCGUUAAUCGGAAUUACUGGGCGUAAAGCGCGCGUAGGUGGUUUGUUAAGUUGAAUGUGAAAUCCCCGGGCUCAACCUGGGAACUGCAUCCAAAACUGGCAAGCUAGAGUAUGGUAGAGGGUAGUGGAAUUUCCUGUGUAGCGGUGAAAUGCGUAGAUGCCUNUNAAGGAANACGANUGGGCGAAAGCGGCCUNUCUGGACUGACACUGUACACUGAGGNGCGAAAGCGUGGGUAGCAAAGGGGANNAGNUNCCCUGGUAGUCCACGCCGUNAACGANGUCAANAANAAGNAAGAGNGUCCCUUGAGGACUNUNAGUGGCGCAGCUAACGCAAUAAGUUGACCGCCUGGGGAGUACGGCCGCAAGGUUAAAACUCAAAUGAAUUGACGGGGGCCCGCACAAGCGGUGGAGCAUGUGGUUUAAUUCGAUGCAACGCGAAGAACCUUACCUANCCCUUGACAUCCAGANGGACUUUCCAGAGAUGGAUUGGUGCCUUCGGGAACNUCUGAGACAGGUGCUGCAUGGCUGUCGUCAGCUCGUGUUGUGAAAUGUUGGGUUAAGUCCCGUAACGAGCGCAACCCCUAUCCUUAUUUGCCAGCGANGUAAUNGUCGGGAACUCUAAGGAGACUGCCGGUGACAAACCGGAGGAAGGUGGGGACGACGUCAAGUCAUCAUGGCCCUUACGGNGUAGGGCUACACACGUGCUACAAUGGUAGGUACAGAGGGCAGCUACANCCGCGAGGUGGAGCUAAUCCCAUAAAACCGAUCGUAGUCCGGAUCGCAGUCUGCAACUCGACUGCGUGAAGUCGGAAUC
Molecule: ribosomal RNA, 1109 nt
Filed under: uncultured bacterium
Lineage: Bacteria
Description: partial 16S ribosomal RNA
Rfam family: Bacterial small subunit ribosomal RNA
Source: RNAcentral